GUUGGACAUUGAAGGGUGAAGAGGGCGGAGAAGAAUUUUAUUGAGCAAGGGAACAGCAAUUAGCGGAGAAGGGACUCUGGGGGGUGGUCGCCCACCCCCUUAGUCGGAUGGUUUUUUCCUCCCCUCGUGGCUGGGUCACGAGCUUUUUAUAGGCUUAGAAUAGGGGAGGGGCAGGUCAUAGGUAGUAUUGGAAAAGGCAACGCUUGAUCGGUUAAAACGCAUUAUUUAGAAAUAAUUAAUCAGGAAAGAGCGGGGGCAAAAAGGAACAGAAAUACUCAGCCUGUGUCGCGGGUUUCAUCUGGGACCAGCAGUUCAGUGUUUUUGGCUGGAAGGUGGGGUUUCACCCCAUCCUCCUGGGCAUUUAGCAGCCUCCAGCCGCUCUCACUUUCGUGUGCCAUGGACGAGAUGAUAAACUGAGAUUGUAGAGGAGUUGCAGUUCUUGGCAGUGACCAGGUCUAGAGAACGACCACUGAGGCUUCAUUUCUGAAUAUGGAUGUCCCACUGCCAGCUUUGGGAAGCCUUCACCAUCUCUGCCUAUACAGAUGGACACACUCCCUGCCUGUGCUGCUGCUAGACUGUGCUUACACUUCCAUCACAGAAUUUAUUUGAUUGGGUUAUCAUGGCUUCUCUGCUGGAAUGGAAGCUACUUGGGAGCCUGGGGAAAUGCUUGGCUCAAAGCGUAAGUAUGUGAAGAAUACAUGAAUGAAUGAAUGACCCUGUCAGCUCUAAACAUCCUAUAAG
This 741-nucleotide long non-coding RNA is filed under the name Homo sapiens (human). RNAcentral's name for it is "non-protein coding lnc-TRAM1-1:2". Lineage: Eukaryota; Metazoa; Chordata; Mammalia; Primates; Hominidae. The record is from RNAcentral.